AUUGAACGCUGGCGGCAUGCCUUACACAUGCAAGUCGAACGGUAACGCGGGGCAACCUGGCGACGAGUGGCGAACGGGUGAGUAAAGCAUCGGGACGUGCCCAGUAGUGGGGGAUAGCCCGGCGAACGCCGGAUUAAUACCGCAUACGACCUAAGGGUGAAAGGGGGGGAUCGCAAGACCUCCCGCUAUUGGAGCGGCAGAUGUCAGAUUAGCUAGUUGGUGGGGUAAAAGCUCACCAAGGCGACGAUCUGUAGCUGGUCUGAGAGGACGACCAGCCACACUGGGACUGAGACACGGCCCAGACUCCUACGGGAGGCAGCAGUGGGGAAUUUUGGACAAUGGACGAAAGUCUGAUCCAGCCAUGCCGCGUGCGGGAAGAAGGCCUUCGGGUAGUAAACCGCUUUUGUCAGGGAAGAAAUCCUUUGAGCUAAUACCUCGGGGGGAUGACGGUACCUGAAGAAUAAGCACCGGCUAACUACGUGCCAGCAGCCGCCGCAG
RNAcentral lists this ribosomal RNA (498 nucleotides) under uncultured bacterium. RNAcentral's name for it is "partial 16S ribosomal RNA". It matches the Rfam family "Bacterial small subunit ribosomal RNA", at positions 29 to 523 of the family's 1533-position model. The record is from RNAcentral.